RNAcentral lists this ribosomal RNA (222 nucleotides) under uncultured bacterium. RNAcentral's name for it is "partial 16S ribosomal RNA". It matches the Rfam family "Bacterial small subunit ribosomal RNA", at positions 109 to 334 of the family's 1533-position model. The record is from RNAcentral.
AGUAAUGUAUGGGGAUCUGCCUGAUGGCGGGGGAUAACUACUGGAAACGGUAGCUAAUACCGCAUAAUGUCUGCGGACCAAAGCGGGGGACCUUAGGGCCUCUUGCCAUCGGAUGUGCCCAGAUGGGAUUAGCUAGUAGGUGGGGUAAUGGCUCACCUAGGCGACGAUCCCUAGCUGGUCUGAGAGGAUGACCAGCCACACUGGAACUGAGACACGGUCCAG